AUCUGUUUUACGAUUGGUUAUACUGUCUUGAAUUGGCGAAAUAGAAAAGAAGUCUUCUUUGGUCAUCCUUGUAACAGUAAAUUUAUUUUUACGCCUACAUGACUCCAUGACCUCAAUAUAGUCAUCAGCAGUGUUCAAACGGUUAUGAGUCUUCAAGGCACAUUCAACAUCCCCAAAUUCUGAAUCGUUAGGUAGGUAGGUAUGACCAGGCUGUAAGAAUCUCAAUGUUAUUUUCUUCAAUGUACUAUGUCUUUGUAAAAUAUAUUUCAGCAUGAGAACUAGUUUUAUACUUCUGUUUUGACCCCCGCAUGAGUCAGCCCAGAGGAUCAAAUGGGUCGUUCCAAUUUUUAAAUAAUCUUCAAUAUAUCUCUUGAGGCACGAGCCCACUUCCUGAGUGCCUCGGCCAGACUCAUACUCAACCCAGACAUAAAAAUAGCCUUUUCCGGAGCUACCACUAUGUAUUCCAAGAUUGUGGAGAUUCAACUGACGUUUGUAAUAAACAAUACUCGUGGGAACUUUCGGCAAGCAGUGUGUCUUUUCUAAAUCAAAAGUGAGCGUUUCAAUUUCUGGGUUUGUUUUCGCUGAUUCCAAAUCCUGUUUCAUUUGAUUCCUCAAGUUGUAAGCUCUGUCCAAGUGUUCUUUGUGCUCUUGUUCUGCAGUUGAAGCUUCUGUACUUGUUGAAGCUUGUGAGCUUUUCAAAGCUUUGUAGCGAUCGCAUCGGUAACAAGUAUCUUUCUGAUUCUUUUUAAAACAAAGAUUGAAAUCUUCGUGGAAAACUUUGCUAAAUUUAGACAAACUAACACCACUUGGAUGUUUUUCUUUGUAGAGAUCAUACAGUUUUGCAAUGUUGAGAUUAGGUGCCAAGUACUUUGCAGUUGUGCUAUUUCUCGAGUAGUGUGAAACGUAUCUCGGAAAACUGUUGAUAAAGGCUUUAAUUUCAGCAAGUUUCUCAGGAGAUGUAGCAUUCUUUCCACCUGAUUUUUGGCCUCUUUGAUCAUUGACAGGUUCCUGGUUUUUAAAUUUUUUCAGUGCAAAAUCAAUUCUUGUUUGGCUUAUUCCAAAAGUAUUAAGAAAGGUCUUUUUACACACAGUUUUUCCAUUGACACGAUAAUAUCUUGUAAAGCUUCGUUUUGAAUUAGCAGUAUAACUUCUUUUAGUUUCCGUUUCUGUAACACAUCCUUGUAAGAUUGCACACCUAGCACCAUAGUUUCCACACAUCCAAAAUAUGUCAAAUUCUUUCUUGCGUUCUUCUGCUGUCACUUUAUCUGUGCAUUUUUUUGGACACUUACAAUCAAAAGAAUCACCAGAAAAUAUUUUUCUAGUCACUUCUUUUCCCUUCACGCUUAUGUAGUCUUCGUUACAGUUAGUCUUUUUUUUACGAAUAUCUCUGUUUUGUUCAGGGUAUUUCCUUUUUCUUCCUCGUUUUGGUCUACCUUGGUUUUGCUCAUCAUUAGCGUCAUUACUUGAAAUAGGUAUAUAGUCCGGAUCGCUGCACUCAUGUCGUUCACAUGCUGGAGGUAAGUUAUUAAUUGGCUCAUGACUAGUAGAUGAUGUUUCUCCAAUGAUUGGUGAUGCUUCUCUUGUGACUGACAAAUCAGAAGAAUGUGUAAUUCUUGGAGAUGGAGCACUGAAUUGGGGCGUAUCAGAGGCUUGGGUAGUUAUUAGAGUUGAAGCUAUGCUAGUCUGAGGCAAACCCGAUGAUUGUUGGCUGCUUGGAUUUUGGGGCGAUGAAAUAAUAUUCUGGAGCACGUUUGUAGAUUGAAUAUUUUCAGGAGACGUGUUACAUUGAAUUAUUUCAGGUUGUGUUAUGGUUGUAGCAGAUUCAAAGGGUGAUAGUCCGAUUCGUGGCGAUAGAUUGUUCUUUCCGAACAUAUCUUCGCAUUGUUCCAUGUAAGGAAUUCUAGCGUUUGCUUCAAGCAAAAUAUCGGAUGGUGAUACGUUAGCAUCUUCAAUAGAAUUUACAUUCACAGUAAGAUCCCUGUGAUGAUCGUAAUACGGUACGCUGGCUGUUAUGGAAUUAACUGCAUCUAACAACUCUUUGUCAUCUAUUGGUAGAAUUAUGUCCAUUGUUUUGGUUGCAGAAUUAAGGUUAUCAAUUGGCUCAUGACUAGUAGAUGAUGUUUGUCCAAUGAUUGGUGAUGCUUCUCUUGUGAUUGACAAAUCAGAUGAAUGUGUAAUUCUUGGAGAUGGAGCACUGAAUUGGGGCGUAUCAGAGGCUUGGGUAGUUAUUAGAGUUGAAGCUGUGCUAGUCUGAGGCAAACCCGAUGAUUGUUGGCUGCUUGGAUUUUGGGGCGAUGAAAUAAUAUUCUGGAGCACGUGUGUAGAUUGAAUAUUCUCAGGAGGCAUGUUAUUUUGAAUUAUUUCAGGUUGUGUUGUGGUUGUAGCAGAUUCAACGGGUGAUUGUGCGAUUCGUGGCGAUAGAUUGUUCUUUCCGAACAUAUCUUCGCAUUGUUCCAUGGAAGGAGUUCUAGCGUUUUCUUCAAGCAAAAUAUCGGAUGGUAAUACGUUAGCAUUGUAACGGUUAGCGUUACCGCUGACCUUUAUCUUAGAACUAAAUUCUAAUUUAAUUACUAUUAUCUACCUAAAUAAAUAUACUUAAAUAAUAAAAUAUCUAAAUCUACGUAAACUACCUAACUAAAUAACUUAAUUAAAUAAUUCAUAUUGUUCUACACUAAUAAAAUAAAUAAAAUAAUAAAUCUACAAGCAAACCCGCGCGAAACAAGUCGUUCGAGAUUUCUUUUGUUCUCUGUCGAGCGGGCGGACUGUUUUUUAUGUAUGCGCAAGCGACGCGCCUACGGCCGCGAUGCUCCCGCCGCGUCUCCUAGUCCGAGCCAGAGCGUUAAUGAGCACGGACGUAUCGCUGUCCGUCACCGCCGGACCCGCGAUGUACGUAACCUUAUAAAACUACAAAUAUGUAAUCGCGUACUGGUGAACCCCGCUACCGGGGUUCAUCCUCACCUUCAUCUUCACUACAACUACCUGCCAUGCAUGGCCAGCGGCUCCUCAACCCGGCGGAGCUGCCUGCCGUGUCGGACGGCCCGUGCGCACAUUCUAAGUGGCCCUACACCACAGUGCGUACGGCCCUAACCGUCUGGCGCGUCGACGACUCUGCGGGCCUACCAUCAAGAAGAACCAACCCACAUCACCAUCAAUACUAGCGAGGACAGUGGUUUGAAUAUACUACCACCGGUGACGAAUCUCGUGCGAUACGAUAGUUUGCUCGUAACUCACACCCUUAAGGUCUCUUGCUCUAAAUUAUAAUAAAUGACUUGUUAACUUAAA
This is a long non-coding RNA of Ostrinia nubilalis (European corn borer), 3282 nucleotides long. RefSeq lists it as uncharacterized. Lineage: Eukaryota; Metazoa; Arthropoda; Insecta; Lepidoptera; Crambidae. The transcript is spliced from 2 exons. The record is from RefSeq and is a predicted model, not a curated record.